Molecule: small nucleolar RNA, 106 nt
Organism: Dioscorea cayenensis subsp. rotundata (Guinea yam)
Lineage: Eukaryota; Viridiplantae; Streptophyta; Magnoliopsida; Dioscoreales; Dioscoreaceae
Source: RefSeq, a predicted model, not a curated record
AGUCCGUGGUGUGGACACAAUUGUAACAACUCUUUGAAUCAAGCGUAGGCAUCAUAUAAAUAUUCUCCUUUUUUUUAGCAAAGCUUGUAAUUUGGUUUCUGAGUUG